Monodelphis domestica (gray short-tailed opossum) is the source of this 4005-nucleotide long non-coding RNA. Lineage: Eukaryota; Metazoa; Chordata; Mammalia; Didelphimorphia; Didelphidae. The record is from Ensembl.
UCUGUUUUCUCUGUGAUGUCAGAGUGCAUCCAGGUCCUUACCCAGGCCAAGGGACUAGAGGUUUACUCUUAAUACAGAUAUCUGAGGAAACAUAUCUAUUUUCUCCACUUCUCAAUACAUAGCCCUCUCCAUUGACACUGCACUUUAUCAGAGCAGGCUGAAUACUUUUCUCAGUGAUUUUAUUUUGAGUAGACACUUAGUCCUUUAGCCUUCCUUCCCUUUGGAGAAACAGUUAGAAAACUUGAAACUGGAUUGGCCCAGGCUCCCCAUCCAGCACUGAAAGACCCUGUUUUCUUCUCCUCCUGAAACUUUUACUGCUGGAGAGAAGCUUCCUUUACCCUACUGGCUCCUCUGCAAAUCUAGGAGAGGAGGACCCUUGAAUUGAAGCCUACAAAGAAAAUAAAGAAUUCAGGAAGCAAGAGGACUUUAAGAAGGUUAAUUUAGAGAAAAAACAAUUAAGAAGAAAAAAAGGAAAAAAUCCCCCAGGCAGAAUGAGGGAAAAUCUCCAGCAGACCAAUGGGGAGAAGAAAGAGGACAUUAAAAAAUGGCCAAGUUCAGCUACUUCGAAAAGGCUUUCAUCCCCAUUCUAAUAAGGUGAUGUCACCACGUGCCCCAUACCAGAUUGAAUCACUAAAGGAAGAAGACCCCCAGUCAAAGCCUACACUGAUGCCCCGCGUCAACCACAGUACCAAAAACAAGUUCUUUCCCCAACCUGAGCAAAAGACUGCAGCCACAUCCUCUUCAAGCUUCAAACAUCAGGCCAAAGAUCCAUUAUUACCGCCAACUGAGCAGCGGGGAAUGACGGUGUCAUUACCACAGCUUGACCACCCUACCAUAGUCAAGACAUCAUUUAACAAAUACUCGAGCAAAAACCCAAUUUUACCCGUAAAAUGCCCCGACCACCAGGCCAGUACAACUUCUGUGUCUUUAUUACGUCCCAAACAGAGACGAAAUUUUGGAUGUAAUCCAGAGAAUUGGGCUGAGGCACCAUCUCACCCCAGCAAACUUCCUAAGGUUCCAUUUACUCCAAAUCAUCUAUCUAAGAUCCAACAAGGCUUUCACCACCCACCUGAUUCCCUAUUAUAUCAUAGCCAGCACCUCAGGAAUCCGCCCUAUCCUGAGCAUCAGGGCAAUAUUAAACUCUACACAGACAACAAGAAGAAGACAACACCGAUACCCUCAUUGCGUUCCAAAUUUGAAACUAAGCCCACAAAUGUACAAUUACCAGGUAGUCAGCAAGGUAAAGCUGUUGGCCAAAAGGCUAAGACUUCCUUUCCCCAGGACCACAAUCACCAGCUCAGAGUAACAGUUCAACCAUUAUCAUGCACAGACUGUCACUUCAAGAGCAUAGGCAAGCCACUGUCAAGCACUGAUCAAUGGACAAGGGAUGUCAUUAUUCCAUCACCAUGUCCAGUGCAUGGCUCUGCAACAAUGAUGGUGCUGUGCAGGGACUGCUCCAAUAAUUCAGGAAACAUAAGGGCUGUGCCAACGACCCCCCAGUAUUCCUCAUGUCAGUGGAAUCGAACUUCCUCUACAUUGUCUCUUCCUUCCUCUAUCACUGAAUUGCUCUCACCAAAUGCUCAGGUCAAGGAGAUAUCUACACUUUUGCCAUAUCCUGAAAAAGAAGAUGCCCUUGCUAUAGACCUUGAAUGCCCAAUCGAAGCCAGACAAGACGAUCAUCAAGAGAUCACAGUUUCAUUGUUGGACCCAGACCACUCAGCUUUACUUCAAAUGAGUCCCAACCAAUGGGAUGACCCUGACCAAUGCACUACAAUAGCUCUACACGACCACAGCCUUGGAGCUAAGAGUGCUUUAAGUCAAGAAAACUGUGCUGAAAUCACACAUCAGGUUGAGACUCAAUUGAACCAAGAUUUUAGGACGAAGUCCCCAACUGACUCGAUGUGCCAAGUAGAGAUUACUAUAGAGCCUGAUCAACCAACCUACUCUUUACCAGAUGAAAAAGAAAAAGUAGAAACCGAAAUGGAAAUUGUCCAGGAAGUUGAGCCUCAAAAGAACCCUUGCGAAGAAGUCAAGGAUAAACCAACACCCAAACACUGGGAUGAAAUUGCAGUGGUCCCAGAACACCAAGACCAGGUUUUGUCAGUCCAAGACCAUCAGUUGGAAGUUCCAUCAGACCAUUACCCUGUGACCACAUCUCUAUUUGGCCCUGGGUACCAGACUGAGGCUCAACUAGGUCAUGAUCAUUUGUCUAAAAGUGCUAUGAAAAAACCCCAAGAUUUAUGUCCUCUGAAUAUGCCCCAAAAGGCAGUAGAUACACAAUUCCAGCUGCAGCAGGUCAUGUCUCCUCCAUGUCUGGAAAAUCAGCCUGAGACUUCAUCAAAUCUUAAAAUUCAGACCACAUUUUUACUAGACCCUGAUUUAGAGAACAAACUUCCCAAUUCCUCUGAACUCUUGGCUCCUGCAGACUCUAAGGGCCAGGAUAAACCUGAGCAGUGCCCAGACCGCUGGCCUGAAGUACCAAAAUAUUAUGAGGAUGAGGUUGGCUAUUUCCCUAGAGCCAGAACUAAGCAAAAAAUAGAGUCUUCAUUGUGUUUUAGCUACCUCAAACCAUAUACUAUUGAAGGUGGGACUGUUUCCGAUGAAAUUGUUAACGAGAUCAUCAAUUCUAUAUCAGAGGAGAAAAUUAAAAAUGACAUAAUGUUUCUCAUAGAGCAGACCAAAGAGUGCCCUAUUCCUCAGACAGAUCAUAACCUAUCAUCAAGUUAUAAUGUUUGUUUACAUUGUGCCUCUUGGAUCCCGUAUGGCUGCCCCCAUGUUAAGAGAAUGAAUUAUCAUGGUAGAGCAAAACUGAUGGCCAUACCAAUACCCAUUCCUGGUUCUAAAAGGAAGAUGGAUAUUAAAUUUGUUCUUAAACUUCCUAAACAACAGUAUUCCUCUAUGUUUUGCCUCACUUUACCGCGUCAUGGUACAUCUGUCCCAUCAAACCCGUUGCUUCCUUUUCCAUCACCUCCCUGCUCAGACACUACUCUACUUGAAUCACCCACUGAUCGCUGGAAGGCACCAUGGGACACUCGUUCUGGCUAUAUGUGUGGCACAAAUAACUCUUUAUCUUGGACAAAUCAGCAGUCAUUCCUAGGGAGACUUUCUGGGAGGAGCAAUGCCUCCAAUGAAGAAUCAACAAGUGGAUCUGGGGGAGUAUUUAAAUCUCUGCUAGAGAAAUUUCAAAGAAAGCGAAGGUCCAAUUAAAAAGACCAAAUUCUCUUCCAAAGUAAUUGAUCCCCUUUAUACCUUGAAAAAUGUGUUUGUGUGUCUCACCUAUUAUGCCUUGUAUUCAGACUCUGAGUCUGAUUCUCUAUGAGUUCAGGAAGGAUCACAGAUAGGCAACUGGAAGGGACUGCAGAGUCUAAUCCCCUUUCAUUUUAAGGAUAAGGAAACUGAAGUGAAUUCAAGUGAGGGGAACAGGUGACCAAGGUCCUACAGGUAGUAAGAUAAUAGGUAAGAUUUGAAUACAGUUCCUCUGACUCCAGAGUCAUUGUUCUUUCCACUGAACCUUGCUGCCUACAAUUAAGCUAAGUACUCUCCCAAGCAUGAAAGGAGGGAUCCUAUGAUUUCCCUUCCCUCUUUCAACAUUUUCUUUCCUAGUCCCACAGAUGUAAUGGUAUUUCACAGAAUAGGAAGGGCAUUUUCACUUUUUUUCCUACUUCUACAUCUUAAUUUGCAAAAAUACAAUGUAUAUACCAUGUGUGUGAUUCUCCUUUUUUAUACUCAAUAUUCAAUUCAACUGGCAUUUAUUAAGCACCCACAAUGUGCACGGCACUGGUUAGGAUUUGGGAAUACGACAGAAAUUCAAUAGUUCCUGUCUUCAAGGAUCUUAUGUUCCACUGAAGGGACACAAUAGACACAUGGAAAAAGAGUAGACAGAACAUAGAGAAAAGGGAUGUCAACUUUUUGAGUGCUCAUUAAUAACUGGGGGGAUCUGGGAAAGCUCCUUGUAAAAGCCAGCGAUUGAAUAAAGCCUGAAAUGGACUUCGGGGCUCUAAAAAG